RNAcentral lists this ribosomal RNA (486 nucleotides) under Salmonella enterica. Its description in RNAcentral is "partial 23S ribosomal RNA". It matches the Rfam family "Bacterial large subunit ribosomal RNA", at positions 2164 to 2649 of the family's 2925-position model. The record is from RNAcentral. RNAcentral also lists the same sequence under 2 other names. Lineage: Bacteria; Pseudomonadati; Pseudomonadota; Gammaproteobacteria; Enterobacterales; Enterobacteriaceae.
GUGGACGCCAGUCUGCGUGGAGCCGACCUUGAAAUACCACCCUUUAAUGUUUGAUGUUCUAACGUGGACCCGUAAUCCGGGUUGCGGACAGUGUCUGGUGGGUAGUUUGACUGGGGCGGUCUCCUCCUAAAGAGUAACGGAGGAGCACGAAGGUUGGCUAAUCCUGGUCGGACAUCAGGAGGUUAGUGCAAUGGCAUAAGCCAGCUUGACUGCGAGCGUGACGGCGCGAGCAGGUGCGAAAGCAGGUCAUAGUGAUCCGGUGGUUCUGAAUGGAAGGGCCAUCGCUCAACGGAUAAAAGGUACUCCGGGGAUAACAGGCUGAUACCGCCCAAGAGUUCAUAUCGACGGCGGUGUUUGGCACCUCGAUGUCGGCUCAUCACAUCCUGGGGCUGAAGUAGGUCCCAAGGGUAUGGCUGUUCGCCAUUUAAAGUGGUACGCGAGCUGGGUUUAGAACGUCGUGAGACAGUUCGGUCCCUAUCUGCCGUG